Molecule: long non-coding RNA, 408 nt
Filed under: Carica papaya (papaya)
Lineage: Eukaryota; Viridiplantae; Streptophyta; Magnoliopsida; Brassicales; Caricaceae
Description: long non-coding RNA (CPAP_LNC007808)
Source: RNAcentral
UUCACGGUAGGGUUCCCUAUUGUACCUGGUCCAUCCACCAUCUCCUAUGAUAUCUAGUAAGGCUCUCGUUUCAUCCAUUCACUUAAAAACAGAAUUUUCCAUUUUCUUUUAGUCUAGAUUUUUUAAAUCAACUGUAAUCACAUAAACAAACAAAUAUGCAUUAGGGAAUGCAAUCAUAUCUCAGUUUUUUAAUUUAACAGUAGUCACGUAAGGCAACAAUACAUGCAUUCAAACCAUAAAAUCAAUAAAUCAGAUAUUAUCAUACAUUUAAACUGUAAAAUAAAUCAACAGAAAUCAAAAGAGAACAAUUUAUGAUUCUGGCUCCAUUAGUAACCCGUAAUUAAUUAUAGAUAUUUUUCAAGUUUCACGAAAUACCAUAUUAUUUAAAAUUAAACUUCAAUUCCAUAA